Molecule: long non-coding RNA, 2678 nt
Filed under: Homo sapiens (human)
Lineage: Eukaryota; Metazoa; Chordata; Mammalia; Primates; Hominidae
Description: HSALNT0377967
Source: RNAcentral
UCCAGCCUGAGUGACAGAGUGAGACUCAACUAUAAACAAACAAACAAACAAACAAAUAAAUAAAGGGCCUCCUUGGAGGCCCAACACAUCAGGGACAUCUCAUCCACCGCUUACUCCUCCCAAGCCCAGCAGAGCAGGGAGGGUGGCGGAGCAUUUGCCCAGUGUGCACGGCUAAUGCCAUCCCGUCCACGUGAUCAAGUGGUACCUGGAAGAACCUGACAAGGCAGCUCCAGACUAAGGACAAGUCAACCCCUUUUCUAGCCUGUUUCCUCAUGGUGAACUGACAGGGUGGGACUAGAACUCACAAGUGGCCAGGCCAGCAUUGGAAGCCAGCUCUGCCUGCCCGCACAGGCCUGGACGCCCAGCCACAACCUGGUGUCCCCUCUGCCCAGCUCUCGCCUUGGCUCUCAAUCAUUAAUGAAGAUGUGAAGUGAGACACCAAUCCUCACAGCCCCCACCACGUGCUCCCUCCCAUGCCUGGCGCUGCUGGAGUCAUUAUCCUUCCUGGUGUGACAGGGUCAGAACCAAACCAAUUUGCAUCAGUCUUUGGUGAUGUUGUGAAGCGUCGCCUGCCCUGCAAUCCUGCUGCUGUAACAACUGCUUCAGCUGUCUGUUCUGGAGUGCUCUUCGCUCCUUUGGAAGACUGAUCAGAUCUGGCCACCCCAGUUCUGGCUGAAAGCCCUAGAGCGACCGCAAUGGUAGGGCAGGAUUCAGGGCUACACAUGGCUGACAUUGUUCCUUCUUCGUUUUGCUCUUCUGAGCUGGACAGAAAGCAGUCCCUCUUUGGAAAACAGGAUGGACAAGUGCAUACAUUAGUGGAGGACGCAGCAGAUGUGGCAGGCAUAGAAUUUUACUCAUUGCUCCAUCUAUUUCUAUCAAGGAAAAUGGGGAGUGCUCCCAAUUUCCGCCCAUUUUCUAGCCCAGGCCUAGUCAGAUGUGUGGGCUUGUAUAUUCUGGGAACCUGGGGCUGAUGUGGUCAAGUCACUUCUUGGGGACAAGGUCAAUUCUUCUCCAUUUUCUCAUGUCAUUUGGUCCUGAGGGUUUUAUAUCUUCUUUAGCAAUUCCAUGACUAUGCUUCUCAUCCUGCAGGGAAACUGACUUUAUAUACACACUUGUCUCCCAAUAAAAGUGAGAACCACCUCCUACAUAUCCCUUGUGUCUUCCAGACUCCAACUCAGAUGAAAUGCACUUCCUUCUCUUUCCUGAUUGUGCAGCGCCUCCAACUGGUUGUUUGUGAUGAAAACAUGAGUAUAAUUACAGACUCUUCUCUGACCCAUUUCUACUCCUGACCCCCAACUCAUCUUUUCUUCCUUCUCUCCAAUUGGGAAGGGGAAGGGAAGCAAGGAGAAAGUAGCGAAGGAAACUCUCGCAAACACAUCUGAAGUAAGAUGCUGCAUGUCCAAGAGCUGGGGGAAACUUAACGCUACGACUCUACAGCAAAGUUAGGUGAGACAUAUUUUCUCAGGGUAGGUAAGGAAAGACUGAGGAAAAAGAUAGCUAUUUGGCAACACUGAACACCUACUGACUGAAUGAUUUUUUUCUGCUCCUGGGCAAAGGCUCUGAGGAGUGUGGGGAGAGAUGGGACUGUCAUGAAUAGGGAACAAGUUUUUUUUUUCCACAUUACAUGCAAUGAGGUAGAGAUCCUAGGGUAUAGCUGGAUGCUUAUUAGGUGCUCAGUAAACACUUAUUGGUGUACAGAUUGAUAUACAUUUGCAUACUAAAGAACAAAUUUCAUUACCAUAUACAAAGGUUAUCGAUGAACUAUGUAUGUAUGCACAUGUGUGCAGGAUAACAGGCUGAGCUGAGAAGCAGGGCUUUUAAAAUCUGUAUAUCCGGCCCCAGAGGCUUUUUUCUCCCUGUAUUAUAAAAUCAAUACCUGUUUCCGUAGAGAGUUUGGAAAAUGUAGAAGAAAACAACAAUACCCCAUAUUCCUCCAACCAGGCAGCAAGCACUAUUACCACCUUCGCCUAUUGCCUUCCAUUCACCACCCCACUGUAAUUGUUAUAUCUGGCCAUUUCACUUAUCCUUAUGACAAAACCAUUUCUUCCAUGAUAUCAUAACCUCUUUGCAAACACACCAAAUGGCUGCAUGGCAGUUCGCUACGGGAAUGUACCAUGAUUUACUCAACAGCUGCACAUCUGAACAGCCUUUGGGCCACUUGAAGGCAGAGGCAGCAGCAGCAGAGGUGGAUGGCGGGAAGUAGGAGGCCAAGGUGAAGCAGCUCGCAGGACCUUGCUUCCCCAUGAGCCCCCCGACCACCAUUCCUCAGAGAUCAUUUCUGGUUCCAAUCCUCACAUAUCCUUCAUGGGUCCUGCCACAGCCAGCACUUCUCAUUUCUACUCAGCCUCAAGUCACUGACUUUCCCAACUUGACUCUUCUCAGCUGCUCCUUUGUGUGAAGUCACUGGCUCAGGCCAGCUUGGCUCCUGGGGCUUGGCUGCGUCCAGAAAGGCCCUGGGAUGUGACCUUCAGCCUCGCUUGACCCUGAGGCCUCAGGCUGCAGUCAGGCGAGGGUCUCUCCAUGGGCUCCCAGAGAAGGCAAAGCCCAGAGGAGGCUGCUGCGGGAGCAGAAGCCUGAGUGGACCCUGCUUAGUCCUGGAAAGGGACCUGACAGGUUUGCGAGAACCUGACAAAUCUCACACCAUAGAAAACUAUCUGGCCCAGGCACAGUGGCUCAUC